RNAcentral lists this ribosomal RNA (548 nucleotides) under Klebsiella oxytoca. Its description in RNAcentral is "partial 23S ribosomal RNA". It matches the Rfam family "Bacterial large subunit ribosomal RNA", at positions 2263 to 2810 of the family's 2925-position model. The record is from RNAcentral. RNAcentral also lists the same sequence under 1 other name. Lineage: Bacteria; Pseudomonadati; Pseudomonadota; Gammaproteobacteria; Enterobacterales; Enterobacteriaceae.
GGGUAGUUUGACUGGGGCGGUCUCCUCCUAAAGAGUAACGGAGGAGCACGAAGGUCAGCUAAUCCUGGUCGGACAUCAGGAGGUUAGUGCAAUGGCAUAAGCUGGCUUGACUGCGAGCGUGACGGCGCGAGCAGGUGCGAAAGCAGGUCAUAGUGAUCCGGUGGUUCUGAAUGGAAGGGCCAUCGCUCAACGGAUAAAAGGUACUCCGGGGAUAACAGGCUGAUACCGCCCAAGAGUUCAUAUCGACGGCGGUGUUUGGCACCUCGAUGUCGGCUCAUCACAUCCUGGGGCUGAAGUAGGUCCCAAGGGUAUGGCUGUUCGCCAUUUAAAGUGGUACGCGAGCUGGGUUUAGAACGUCGUGAGACAGUUCGGUCCCUAUCUGCCGUGGGCGCUGGAGAAUUGAGGGGGGCUGCUCCUAGUACGAGAGGACCGGAGUGGACGCAUCACUGGUGUUCGGGUUGUCAUGCCAAUGGCAUUGCCCGGUAGCUAAAUGCGGAAGAGAUAAGUGCUGAAAGCAUCUAAGCACGAAACUUGCCCCGAGAUGAGUU